Molecule: ribosomal RNA, 457 nt
Filed under: Sutterella wadsworthensis
Lineage: Bacteria; Pseudomonadati; Pseudomonadota; Betaproteobacteria; Burkholderiales; Sutterellaceae
Description: bacterial SSU rRNA
Rfam family: Bacterial small subunit ribosomal RNA
Source: RNAcentral
UCGACGGCAGCGCGGGGAGCUUGCUCCCUGGCGGCGAGUGGCGCACGGGUGAGUAAUACAUCGGAACGUGUCUUCUAGUGGGGGAUAACUGCCCGAAAGGGCAGCUAAUACCGCAUGAGACCUGAGGGUGAAAGCGGGGGAUCGCAAGACCUCGCGCUGGAAGAGCGGCCGAUGUCCGAUUAGCUGGUUGGUGAGGUAAAGGCUCACCAAGGCGACGAUCGGUAGCUGGUCUGAGAGGACGACCAGCCACACUGGGACUGAGACACGGCCCAGACUCCUACGGGAGGCAGCAGUGGGGAAUUUUGGACAAUGGGGGCAACCCUGAUCCAGCCAUGCCGCGUGCAGGAUGAAGGUCUUCGGAUUGUAAACUGCUUUUGUCAGGGACGAAAAGGGAUGCGAUAACACCGCAUUCCGCUGACGGUACCUGAAGAAUAAGCACCGGCUAACUACGUGCCAG